GUCUACAGAUAAUUCUAAUUGUGUGCAGGAUGUUGAGGAAAAUAAUGAAUUUAAUCCAUUUUGGAAUGUGGAAAAAGUGAAGCACUGUGAAUACUUUCCGGAUGCACUGUAGAAAUGACUUGUGGGUUAAAUACCUUGAGGGGGAACGGGUUCAUAAUGCAGCGUAACAAGUACUUUUAUCUAAAAUGUCAGUUUGAGAUGCAGGGGAAAAUUACUUUAAAUAAUACCACCAACAUACUUUAUUAUCAUUAUUAUAAUAUUUUAAAUAUCCAUGAACAACAAUAUUCAUACAUGCAAAAGCCCUCAAACUCAAAAUUUCUGAUUUUAUUGCUCAUUCACACACCCAUGCAAACCUUCCAACAUCCAGAUUUGUACACAAAUGAGCAGUAAAAGAUGACAUUUAAAUAAGUAACAAAGGAGAAUCCAGUAAAACCUACUCAAACAAAAUUAAUACUGGAAAGAUGUUUUCAAGUAAUUGUCUAAUUCAAUGAAAUGAUUAAUGAGUUCAAUAGUGCACUUCAGAUGUCAGAUGUACAGUCAGCUUUCCUGUCUUUCAAAAACAUAUCUAAUAUAAGGCUAAUUAAGUGUCAAAAGGAGGUCAAAGCAGCAGAGUCCAACAGAUGCGUAACCCUCUACGAAAGAACUGGAGACAGAAAAACGAUGCACAUCAUUAUGAAAAAACAAAGGACCACAAUAAAACUGCCCUCUGUAGUAAAACAAGUCAAACCGCGUGUACUGUGUUUACAGUAUCUGUGUGGAUCCCCUACGUCCUCAAACAAGGCUCAACUUAACCAUGCUGAACAUUUUAAAUCGGAUUAUAAGGCAUUUCCAAUGUGUUCACAUAUAAUGUGUGGUCAAUCUUUGAGUGGACUCUGCUGCGAUGCCCCCCGCUGUGUCUUCAACUGGUGUAGUGUCUGCCUUGAUUAAAGCCAGCUUGGUUGUAUUGCUGCCCGCCAUGUUGAAAGAACUGUUCAAACUGUCCGCCUUGGUUAAAAUUCUGCCCCCCUCUGGCGCCCCACCCCCUGCCUCGGCCUCCUCUUCCCCUGCUGCCACGACUUCCUCGCCCGCCUCCUCUCUCCUGAUGCCAGCCUCCAUCUUGUUGCUGAUUGUCAUGGUAACCACCACCACCACCUCCACCUCCUCC
This is a long non-coding RNA of Gasterosteus aculeatus aculeatus (three-spined stickleback), 1144 nucleotides long. The record is from Ensembl. Lineage: Eukaryota; Metazoa; Chordata; Actinopteri; Perciformes; Gasterosteidae.